AGAAUCAAAACUGAGCGAGAGAGAAAAUUGGAAAGAGACUGGGAAAAGUGUUUUCUGGGCAAAGAAACUAAGCAAGAAAAGGCGGCGGAGGAGAAAGGGCUGGGACCAAUAGUAAGGAACAGAGGAGAAGCUGGAAACAGCCGUCACUUGCAGAAAUCAUCCAUCACCACUGCCAUCAGAACUUCUAGAAGCAUCCCCAAAGCUGUUGCUUUUUGCUGUUUACUUGUAUUUUAGGUAUGGCCAUGUCUGAUGGUUCUCUCUUUUCUUACCAUUUUGUUUCUAAAAUCUGUUUUUUCACCCAAGAGCCAACUCCGCCUGUUAUUUGUUGCGUUUCAUCCAACGCUCUCUGUUUCAUGUCUGGGUUUUGUUGUUUGAGGAAGGUUGAGUUAUAUUUCUGUUUUGGCUGAGAAAUUCGUGGGUUUGGACUGGGUUUGGGGAUAGAAGUUUGGGGUUUGCUUGUUGUUUGAUUGGCAGGCCAUAUAUGCAUUUACCGCAAGCUUUCUUCUUUCUGUCUAGGUUGUGUUUUUCUUAUCCAGUAGCAUUAUGGGAUAUGUUGGGAAUAGGUAGUUGCAUUUGGGUGUUGUUAACAACGCUAAGAUGAAGUUUUUAGUGGGUUUUGGUUGAUGAGCUUGCUAGCUUUGGUUUUUAAUUUGUGAAGGAUGUCUGAGUUGAAUAAAUUGCCAAGUGGCAGUAAGAAUAUUGCAAAAAGAAAACCAGCGAAUACGAUGGAGUCCUCGACUAGGCUGCC
This 748-nucleotide long non-coding RNA is filed under the name Coffea arabica (coffee). RNAcentral describes it as "long non-coding RNA (CARA_LNC003449)". Lineage: Eukaryota; Viridiplantae; Streptophyta; Magnoliopsida; Gentianales; Rubiaceae. The record is from RNAcentral.